This 85-nucleotide transfer RNA is filed under the name Candidatus Woesearchaeota archaeon. RNAcentral describes it as "tRNA-Ser". It matches the Rfam family "tRNA". Rfam says of the family: Transfer RNA (tRNA) molecules are approximately 80 nucleotides in length. Lineage: Archaea; Nanobdellati; Candidatus Woesearchaeota. The record is from RNAcentral.
GCCAGUGUCGGAUAAUCCGGUUAUUCCGUUCGCCUCGAAAGCGAAUGUCCUCCGGGACGUGCAGGUUCAAAUCCUGCCGCUGGCG